Chloroflexi bacterium RBG_16_50_11 is the source of this 389-nucleotide non-coding RNA. The record is from Rfam. Lineage: Bacteria; Bacillati; Chloroflexota.
NNNNNNNNNNNGGUGACCGCCCUGAUUUGCCCUGAAGGGCUCAUCGGGGAGGAAAGUCCGAGCUCCGCCGGGCAGGAUGCUGGGUAACUCCCAGGAGGGGCAACCCUACGGAAAGUGCCACAGAAACAUACCGCCCCGAUUCGUCCCGAUGAUAUCGGGGCUCAUGCGGGGUAAGGGUGAAAUGGCGAGGUAAGAGCUCACCGGCUCCGAUGCGAAUCGGAGGCCGUGCAAACCCCAUCCGGAGCAAGACCAAAUAGAGGGACACAGGGACGCCCGGCCCGUUCCCCGGGUUGGUCGCUCGACCCCUCCGGUAACGGACGGGCUAGAUAGAUGGUCACCGUCCCGAUUUUAUCGGGACACAGAACUCGGCUUACAGGUUUACCUGGCCC